Non-coding RNA from Scomber japonicus (chub mackerel), 456 nucleotides. Lineage: Eukaryota; Metazoa; Chordata; Actinopteri; Scombriformes; Scombridae. The record is from the annotation of a RefSeq genome assembly.
AUGAGUUUGUAUCACUGUGGUACACGUUCGGUGGAGGAACCAGACUGGAUGUUGGAAGUUUUUGUACGACGACUCAAUGAGUUUGUAUCACUGUGGUGGACUUUUGGUGGAGGAACCAGACUGGAUGUUGGAAGUGAUGCCCGUCCCACCCUGACGGUGCUGCCCCCCUCCAUUAAAGAGCUGGACCAGGGCAAGGCCACACUCACUUGUCUGGCCAACAAGGGCUUCCCCUCAGACUGGAGUCUGACCUGGAAGGUGGACGGCAGCAGCAGCAGCUUGGAUCAGAGCAGGAGCCCUGCGGCGCUGCAGAAGGACGACCUCUACAGCUGGAGCAGCACCCUGAGGCUGACUGCAGACCAAUGGAGGAAGGUCGGCUCUGUGACCUGUGAGGCCACCCAGGGCUCCCAGAUUCCACUCUCAGAGACACUGAGGAGAGACCAGUGUUCCCAGUCCUGA